AUUGAACGCUGGCGGCAUGCUUUACACAUGCAAGUCGAACGGCAGCGCGGGCUUCGGCCUGGCGGCGAGUGGCGAACGGGUGAGUAAUACAUCGGAACGUGCCCAGUAGUGGGGGAUAGCUCGGCGAAAGCCGGAUUAAUACCGCAAACGACCUGAGGGUGAAAGCGGGGGAUCUUCGGACCUCGCGCUAUUGGAGCGGCCGAUGGCAGAUUAGCUAGUUGGUGGGGUAAAGGCCUACCAAGGCGACGAUCUGUAGCUGGUCUGAGAGGACGACCAGCCACACUGGGACUGAGACACGGCCCAGACUCCUACGGGAGGCAGCAGUGGGGAAUUUUGGACAAUGGGCGAAAGCCUGAUCCAGCAAUGCCGCGUGUGUGAUGAAGGCCUUCGGGUUGUAAAGCACUUUUGGCGGGAACGAAAAGGACUGUGCCAAUACCACGGUUCGAUGACGGUACCCGCAGAAUAAGCACCGGCUAACUACGUG
Molecule: ribosomal RNA, 484 nt
Filed under: uncultured bacterium
Lineage: Bacteria
Description: partial 16S ribosomal RNA
Rfam family: Bacterial small subunit ribosomal RNA
Source: RNAcentral